UGGUCAAGUUAUUAAGGGUGCAGGGCGGAUGCCUUGGCACUAGGAGCCGAUGAAGGACGUGAUAAGCUGCGAUAAGCUUCGGGGAGUUGCACGUAAACUUUGAUCCGAAGAUUUCCGAAUGAGGAAACUCACUUAGAGUAAUGUCUAAGUAUCAUUAAGUGAAUACAUAGCUUAAGGAGGGGAACUCAGGGAACUGAAACAUCUAAGUACCUGAAGGAAGAGAAAGAAAUUCGAUUCCGUAAGUAGCGGCGAGCGAACGCGGAUUAGCCCAAACCAAUAAAGUUUUCUUUAUUGGGGUUGCGG
This 303-nucleotide ribosomal RNA is filed under the name Clostridioides difficile. Its description in RNAcentral is "bacterial LSU rRNA". It matches the Rfam family "Bacterial large subunit ribosomal RNA", at positions 1 to 303 of the family's 2925-position model. Lineage: Bacteria; Bacillati; Bacillota; Clostridia; Peptostreptococcales; Peptostreptococcaceae. The record is from RNAcentral.